This is a long non-coding RNA of Lagopus leucura (white-tailed ptarmigan), 599 nucleotides long. RefSeq lists it as uncharacterized. The record is from RefSeq and is a predicted model, not a curated record. The transcript has 4 exons. NCBI's taxonomy places the organism in Eukaryota, Metazoa, Chordata, Aves, Galliformes, Phasianidae.
AGGGCGGUAAUCAGGGGCUGUGGUGACACAUUAAUUAACGCAGGGCGGUAAUUAGGGGCAGUGGCACCGGGCGGUUCGUUAAUUAAACCAGGGCGGUAAUGAGGAGCGGCGGCAGGUCGUUAAUUAAUUGUCGGGCGUUGGUAAUUAGGGGAGGUGCGGCUGCACUUCGAGGCCGGGCGCCCGGAGCUGCGCAAUGAGCGCUAUGGCAGCCGCCCCGUGGUGCUGCACGGCAACGGGCCGACCAAGCUGCAGCUGAACUCGUUAGCUAAUUACAUCCCCAACGGCUGGAGCCCCAGUGGCUGCGGGGACUGCGAGCGCGGAGUGCAGGAUGUGGGGAACGGCACGGCGGUGCGCGCGGUGCUGGCCGUGUUCGUGGAGCAGCCGACGCCGUUCCUGGAUUUGUUCUGGCAGCGCCUCCUGCGCUUGGAGCAGCCGAGCGGGGAGCUGCAGCUCUUCAUCCACAACCGCGAGCCGUACCACGAGCGCCACCUGGCGGCAGUUUGGCCGCAGCUGCAGCGACGCUUUGCGGCUGUCAAAGUCGUGGGGCCGGAGGAAAACAUGGGGCAGGGAGCGGCCAGGGACAUGGGAGCGUGAGUGGG